This 525-nucleotide ribosomal RNA is filed under the name uncultured Rhodospirillales bacterium. RNAcentral describes it as "bacterial SSU rRNA". It matches the Rfam family "Bacterial small subunit ribosomal RNA", at positions 355 to 897 of the family's 1533-position model. Lineage: Bacteria; Pseudomonadati; Pseudomonadota; Alphaproteobacteria; Rhodospirillales. The record is from RNAcentral.
UGGGGAAUAUUGGACAAUGGGGGCAACCCUGAUCCAGCAAUGCCGCGUGAGUGAUGAAGGCCUUCGGGUUGUAAAGCUCUUUUGGCGGGGACGAUGAUGACGGUACCCGCAGAAUAAGCCCCGGCUAACUUCGUGCCAGCAGCCGCGGUAAUACGAAGGGGGCUAGCGUUGUUCGGAAUUACUGGGCGUAAAGGGCGCGUAGGCGGUUUGAAUCGUCGGAUGUGAAAGGCCUGGGCUCAACCUGGGAAUGGCAUCCGAUACGGUCAGACUUGAGUGUGGGAGAGGUUGGUGGAAUUCCCAGUGUAGAGGUGAAAUUCGUAGAUAUUGGGAAGAACACCGGUGGCGAAGGCGGCCAACUGGACCACAACUGACGCUGAGGCGCGAAAGCGUGGGGAGCAAACAGGAUUAGAUACCCUGGCAGUCCACGCUGUAAACGAUGCGUGCUAGACGUUGGGAGCCCUAGGCUCUCGGUGUCGUCGCUAACGCUUUAAGCACGCCGCCUGGGGAGUACGGUCGCGAGAUUAA